UCCGUUGUGAGGCGGAAUCUGAAAGAAGCUGUAAGCAAAGUUCCGGCUUGAGGAACACGAACCACAUAUAGGCUGAAUUAAGUCGGGCGAGUUUGCAUAACAAAACGAAGCCCAAUACUACCCGAGGCUUAUACAGUAGAUGUGGUGUCGAUACGCUUGAGAAAUGGG
Molecule: non-coding RNA, 168 nt
Organism: Peptococcaceae bacterium BRH_c4a
Lineage: Bacteria; Bacillati; Bacillota; Clostridia; Eubacteriales; Peptococcaceae
Source: Rfam